UUGUCCCAUUCUAGUUUAGCU
Molecule: microRNA, 21 nt
Filed under: Oryza sativa (Asian cultivated rice)
Lineage: Eukaryota; Viridiplantae; Streptophyta; Magnoliopsida; Poales; Poaceae
Also listed under: 1 other name
Description: osa-miR2863a
Source: miRBase by way of RNAcentral